Molecule: long non-coding RNA, 2908 nt
Filed under: Gossypium raimondii (Peruvian cotton)
Lineage: Eukaryota; Viridiplantae; Streptophyta; Magnoliopsida; Malvales; Malvaceae
Description: long non-coding RNA (GRAI_LNC006603)
Source: RNAcentral
CCAUUUAGAAAACUUUACUAGAAGACAAAUUUCUUUACAUAAAGCGGAUAUAUAUAUACGGCUUUGCCUUCAUACUCUAGGCAAAGACAUCCUCUCCUUCAUCUGGAUGCUAAGAUAAAUCUUGUGAAUCCUUCAAAAGGGGUAUCUCCUCUACCUCCCUUUUGCUUGAUCCUGGUUAUAAUCCAACGUCUGUCCAUCCCCGUAAUGCUCCUCAGCUUCUUUAAGGCAGUUGGAAUGUCAGAAACUCUUGAAUAAUCAGCUUGAAUCAUCGGGCCACAAAGUAAAGUCAUGCACUCCUCCAUCACCCUUCUUGCGUUUCUCAGAAUAUAUUUAGGCAACCGUAUUAUCUUCCACUUUAUCAAGAAACCCAUUUCCCAUGAUAAACUUUCUGUUUAGCAAUCGAAUACGAACCAACGCCUCUUUAUAAUGGAAUGCCAUGUAAUUGUAAUGCCAUGCAAUCAGAGUAAAACACAAAAAGUCAGUAACAGUUAAAUACAAUACAACCAAGAAAUAGUAAAAUCCCCUAAUUAGAUCUCUACUAAGGUUCAAAGUAAUUCUACCUAGGGUGGGUUCCUAAUGUUCACUAUAUGAGGUUUGGUUUCUAGGGAAAUGGUACCCGAACCAGCAGAUUCCUCGAUCCUCACCCAUUAUAGGCUCAUACAGACCAAGUUCAGUUCAAGGGAAUACAUUUCCCUAUGGCUGCACGGAGAUGAAAAUCUCACGAAGACAUAGGUACAGAUGUAUUCCGAAAGCGAUCCACUACCCUGCACGGAGGUGAAAACCUCACGAAGGACUAGCUUCUCACUCCCACUUAAAGGGGUAAAAUUGACCAUGAAAUGCAAAAUGCAAAUAAGCUAACAGCCUUAAGCUAAUCAAGCAAAUAUAUAACAAUGAAAAAUCAAUGAAUGCAAAAGGGAAAUCAUGGUUUAAAAAAAUCUUUAAUUCUCAACAAAAAGAUACCAAAUAAUCAAUUUAUGGCUCGACUCUCAAAAGUCCCCAGCGGAGUCGCCAAGCUGUCGAAACCAUUUUUUUGAAAAAACAAAAAUAAGUUAUCGACUUUAAGAACAAAAAUUGGAGUCGCCACCGAUCCUUUAUUAAGGUGUGAUUGGCUCACCAUAAAAACAAUUCUAGUCUGCAAAAUUUGAGAAAACAGGUUCGGGAGUCAGUUACGGACGAGGAAGGGUUAGCACCCUCGUAACGCCCAAAAAUCGGUACCAAAUUUGAUUAUUUUAUGUCUUGAUGUCGAAAAUUUGAAAAGAGUUUAAAAAAUUUUAACCCGUGAAUGUAUUAAAAUGACAAAACAUUCUCAUUUCAAAGAAAUAAAACACCACACCCAGUAAGUUAGGGCACAAUAUUUUAAAUCUUCAAAAUACCGAAUAUUGCUUUUUGUUUUAGAAAUUCUUAUUUCGAGAUGACGAAAUGUCACGACCAGUAAGUUAGGACCCGACAUUUUACAUUCCCGAGAAUAAGCUUUUAUUUGAAAAUUGCAAAUUUAUUGUGAAAUAAAUACUUAGCUUGCUAAAUUCAUCGAAAAAAAUGAUCACGAUCCAGUAAGUUAGGACACGAUCUUUCUCGAGAAUCAUGAUUGCCAAAUAUUUAAUUUAAAAAAAAACAAUUUUAAUGCUAACGAAACCAAAACAUAUUUUCUUUAAAAGUAUGAUAAAAUGUUCGUGCAUAUAUACGAAAAUCACGAAAAUGAAUCAAUAAUACAAUGUACGUGCAUUUAAAAAAAAAAAUAAAUAAACAUAAUAAUGUAUAAACAUAAUAUAUUAGUAAUUAUCAAAAAUAUGGACAUGUAUAUAUAAAAAACAAAUUUAAAAAAAAUAUAUAUAUAUAAAGGUAUAGAAUAAUAUAUAUCUAUGUAUACGUAUAUAUAUAAAAAUAUUUGGAUCAUAAAAUAUACAAAACAUAUAUAUAUUAUAAAAAUAUAUACGCAUACAUAUGAAUAUAAAGUUAAGAAAAAUAAAAUAAGAAUAAAAUAUAUGAUAUGUAUAUAGUAUAUAUUUAAAACGUUUUAAAAAAAAAUAUAUAUAUAUAUAUGUGUAUGUAUAUUAAGAGGCAUAUGCGCAUAUAAAUAAAUAUAAUAAUAGUACUAUAUAAUAUGAUAAUAAUAAUAAACUAAUAACGAUACAGUAAUAAUAAUAUAAAUAAAUAGUAUUAAUAACGUAAUAAAUAUAAAAAAAUAGCAAAUUAAGGAUUAAAUUAAAAAACAAACAGAAUUUGAAAGCUAAAUUUGAAAAUGAAAACAAGAAAGGGAGUAGUUUAAAACACGCGCAACAGGGAGAGGGCCGAAGGAGCAAAUUACCCAAAAACACUGCACAACACUGCACUAAAAUAAAACAGAUUCGAUAUUUCAUGGAUAAAUUUGAAAACAAAAAGAAAUGGUUUUGAAAUAAUAGGAUAAAAUGGAAGGAGUAAAAACACAAAUAACCCAUUUCAAACUCUAGUUAAAACCUUAUUCCCUUUUGCUGUAACAGCAGCCUCAAGAACUGCUCCAUCCUCUCCUCUGCUUUGCAAGCCAAACUCCCCCCCUUCCAACUUCGAUUUAGAUGAAGAGAAGCAAGGAUGUCGACGGCGCACUUCGUUUGGUAAGGAUUUCUCCUCUUUCUUUUAUUUUUGUUUUAAAAAAUUAAAGGAAAAACCCCAAAAUAAAAUCAAAAAACAAUAAAAAGAACAGGAAAAAAAAGAACAAAACCGAUCACCUUUCCAAAAUUCUUCCUCUGAUUCUUUACUUGUAUUUCAUUAAUCUUUCCAUACAAUAUUUUGCUCCAAUUUCUUAUUUUUAUCCACUCUCUCAAUAAUUUUCUGAUACAAAAAUGUCAACCCCCCCUCUCUAUUUUUCUUUUUUCUCUUCAUUUUCGUAACCCCCUUCAUUUCUCCUGUUUUCCUCCUUUUGUUGCCGUUUUUG